CCUACGGGGGGCAGCAGUGGGGAAUAUUGGACAAUGGGGGCAACCCUGAUCCAGCCAUGCCGCGUGUGUGAAGAAGGCCCUCGGGUUGUAAAGCACUUUCAGUGAGGAAGAACACCUGGUGGUUAAUACCCAUCAGGAAAGACAUCACUCACAGAAGAAGCACCGGCUAACUCCGUGCCAGCAGCCGCGGUAAUACGGAGGGUGCGAGCGUUAAUCGGAAUUACUGGGCGUAAAGCGCGCGUAGGUGGCUUGAUAAGCCGGUUGUGAAAGCCCCGGGCUCAACCUGGGAACGGCAUCCGGAACUGUCAAGCUAGAGUGCAGGAGAGGAAGGUAGAAUUCCCGGUGUAGCGGUGAAAUGCGUAGAGAUCGGGAGGAAUACCAGUGGCGAAGGCGGCCAUCUGGACUGACACUGACACUGAGGUGCGAAAGCGUGGGUAGCAAACAGGAUUAGAUACCCUUGUAGUC
This 465-nucleotide ribosomal RNA is filed under the name Vreelandella stevensii. RNAcentral's name for it is "partial 16S ribosomal RNA". It matches the Rfam family "Bacterial small subunit ribosomal RNA", at positions 338 to 795 of the family's 1533-position model. The record is from RNAcentral. Lineage: Bacteria; Pseudomonadati; Pseudomonadota; Gammaproteobacteria; Oceanospirillales; Halomonadaceae.